CCUACGGGAGGCAGCAGUGGGGAAUAUUGCGCAAUGGGGGAAACCCUGACGCAGCAACGCCGCGUGAGUGAGGAGGGACUUCGGUCUGUAAAGCUCUGUUAAUGAGGAAAAAUGGUAGUUGGUCUAAUAGGCCGAUUAUUUGAUGGUACUCAUAGAGGAAGCACCGGCUAACUUCGUGCCAGCAGCCGCGGUAAUACGAAGGGUGCAAGCGUUGUUCGGAUUUAUUGGGCGUAAAGCGCGCGUAGGCGGACCUGCAAGUAAGAUGUGAAAUCUCGAGGCUCAACCUCGAAACUGCGUCUUAAACUACAGGUCUAGAAUCUCGGAGGGGGAAGGGGAAUUUCGCAUGUAGGGGUAAAAUCCGUAGAUAUGCGAAGGAACACCAGGGGCGAAGGCGCCUUCCUGGACGAGUAUUGACGCUGAGGCGCGAAAGCGUGGGGAUCAAACAGGAUUAGAUACCCUGGUAGUCCACGCUGUAAACGAUGAACACUAGGUAUUGGAGGAUUUGACCCCUUCAGUGCCGUAGCUAACGCGUUAAGNGUUCCGCCUGGGAAUACGGUCGCAAGACUAAAACUCAAAGGAAUUGACGGCNGAGAGNGCGACGACGACGACGAGGGAGAGG
RNAcentral lists this ribosomal RNA (619 nucleotides) under uncultured bacterium. Its description in RNAcentral is "bacterial SSU rRNA". It matches the Rfam family "Bacterial small subunit ribosomal RNA", at positions 338 to 950 of the family's 1533-position model. The record is from RNAcentral.